GAUGAACGCUAGCGGCAGGCUUAACACAUGCAAGUCGAGGGGCAGCGGGGUCUUCGGACCGCCGGCGACCGGCGCACGGGUGCGUAACGCGUAUGCAACCUACCUUUCACAGGGGGAUAAUCCGGAGAAAUCUGGUCUAAUACCCCAUAACACAUUUUACGGCAUCGUAGAUUGUUGAAAUUUUCGGAGGUGAAAGAUGGGCAUGCGUGACAUUAGCUAGAUGGUGAGGUAACGGCUCACCAUGGCAACGAUGUCUAGGGGGACUGAGAGGUUAACCCCCCACACUGGUACUGAGACACGGGCCAGACUCCUACGGGAGGCAGCAGUGGGGAAUAUUGCACAAUGGGGGAAACCCUGAUGCAGCGACGCCGCGUGAAGGAAGAAGUAUUUCGGUAUGUAAACUUCUAUCAGCAGGGAAGAAAAUGACGGUACCUGACUAAGAAGCCCCGGCUAAUUACGUGCCAGCAGCCGCCGUAAUAC
RNAcentral lists this ribosomal RNA (480 nucleotides) under uncultured bacterium. Its description in RNAcentral is "bacterial SSU rRNA". It matches the Rfam family "Bacterial small subunit ribosomal RNA", at positions 28 to 526 of the family's 1533-position model. The record is from RNAcentral.